GUUUGAUCCUGGCUCAGGAUGAACGCUAGCGGCAGGCUUAACACAUGCAAGUCGAGGGGCAGCGGGGUGUAGCAAUACAUCGCCGGCGACCGGCGCACGGGUGCGUAACACGUAUGGAAUCUGCCCUGUACUGGGGGAUAGCCCUCCGAAAGGAGGAUUAAUACCCCAUAACAACUUGAGUGGCAUCACUUGGGUUUGAAAGCUCCGGCGGUACAGGAUGACCAUGCGCCCGAUUAGCUAGUAGGUGAGGUAACGGCUCACCUAGGCUACGAUCGGUAGGGGCCUGAGAGGGUUAUCCCCCACACUGGUACUGAGACACGGACCAGACUCCUACGGGAGGCAGCAGUGAGGAAUAUUGCGCAAUGGAGGCAACUCUGACGCAGCCAUGCCGCGUGCAGGAAGAAGGCGCUACGCGUUGUAAACUGCUUUUAACCGGGAAGAAACCCCAGGACGUGUCCUGGGUUGACGGUACCGGAGGAUAAGCACCGGCUAACUUCGUGCCAG
This 504-nucleotide ribosomal RNA is filed under the name uncultured bacterium. Its description in RNAcentral is "bacterial SSU rRNA". It matches the Rfam family "Bacterial small subunit ribosomal RNA", at positions 11 to 511 of the family's 1533-position model. The record is from RNAcentral.